AUGCACAAAAAAAACAAGUUGAUUGUUGGUCUAGCCCCGGACCCGAUCCCAGAUGGGGUCGCGGUGCUGCAGUAUGCGGAUGAUACCAUUAUCUGUAUGGAGCAUGAUGUGGAGAAAGCAGUUAACCUGAAAUUGCUGCUCUAUAUGUUUGAAAUGAUGUCUGGCCUCAAAAUAAAUUUCCAGAAGAGUGAGAUACUAACGGUUGGUGGAGAUGAAAGUAUUAUCAGAGAGUACGUAGAGCUCUUUAAUUGUGACAUUGGCAGUUUCCCGAUUAAAUAUUUGGGGAUGCCAGUCAGCUACACCAACCUUAGAACCUCUGACUGGGAGUUCAUCAUUGUUAAAUAUCUUAAGAGGUUUGAGGCCUGGAUAGGCAAUGCUGCUUCAAUGGGGGGCAGGCUCACUUUGCUUGAUUCUGUCCUCACCCAACUGUCUAUCUUCCAUAUGGCUAUGUGGCUCAUGAAUAAAACAUUCAUUGAAAAGCUUGAUAAACAUAGACGGAGAUUCUUCUGGUAG
RNAcentral lists this ribosomal RNA (513 nucleotides) under Triticum aestivum (bread wheat). RNAcentral's name for it is "partial small subunit ribosomal RNA". The record is from RNAcentral. Lineage: Eukaryota; Viridiplantae; Streptophyta; Magnoliopsida; Poales; Poaceae.